ACGAAUCGUCUGAUCAAACUUCU
Molecule: microRNA, 23 nt
Filed under: Panagrellus redivivus
Lineage: Eukaryota; Metazoa; Nematoda; Chromadorea; Rhabditida; Panagrolaimidae
Description: prd-miR-5360-5p
Source: miRBase by way of RNAcentral